Rhipicephalus microplus (southern cattle tick) is the source of this 275-nucleotide long non-coding RNA. Lineage: Eukaryota; Metazoa; Arthropoda; Arachnida; Ixodida; Ixodidae. The record is from RefSeq and is a predicted model, not a curated record.
CGCCAUAUUCAUAAUAUGACUCAUGAGAACCACAUGGCAUGUCCUCAGGAGGUGGUCCUUACCUUAAGCCUUGUUUUGGUUGGACACUCUUGCUCUACGUACCUAAUGGAAAAAAUGUUAUUCCAAUCGAAUGACGACUCGUGUGGUGUAUUUGAUGUGCAGUAUUACAAAAACAAUGCGGUAAAUGGACCAUCAGGCAUACCAUUCUGGGGAAUUUUAGCACUGGAACGUCGUGAUGCGAUAUCAGCUCGUUAUUACCCCACCAGGAACUCUGC